AUACGUAGGGGGCGAGCGUUGUCCGGAAUGAUUGGGCGUAAAGGGCGCGUAGGCGGCCCGGUAAGUCUGGAGUGAAAGUCCUGUUUUUAAGAUGGGAAUUGCUUUGGAUACUGUCGGGCUUGAGUGCAGGAGAGGUAAGUGGAAUUCACAGUGUAGCGGUGACAUGCGUAGAGAUUGGGAGGAACACCAGUGGCGAAGGCGACUUACUGGACUGUAACUGACGCUGAGGCGCGAAAGUGUGGGGAGCAAACAGGAUUAGAUACCCUGGUAGUCCACACUGUAAACGAUGAAUGCUAGGUGUAGGGGGUAUCGACCCCUUCUGUGCCGCAGUCAACACAAUAAGCAUUCCGCCUGGGGAGUACGGCCGCAAGGUUGAAACUCAAAUGAAUUGGCGGGG
Molecule: ribosomal RNA, 397 nt
Filed under: uncultured bacterium
Lineage: Bacteria
Description: partial 16S ribosomal RNA
Rfam family: Bacterial small subunit ribosomal RNA
Source: RNAcentral